GUUGUAUGGUUAAGUGACUAAGCGUACACGGUGGAUGCCUUGGCAGUCAGAGGCGAUGAAGGACGUAGUAACUUGCGAUAAGCGUAGAUGAGGCAGUAACAGCCACUUGAGUCUACGAUUUCCGAAUGGGGAAACCCACUGGCAUAAGCCAGUAUCAUUGAGUGAAUACAUAGCUCAAUGAAGCGAACCGGGAGAACUGAAACAUCUAAGUACCCCGAGGAAAAGAAAUCAACCGAGAUUCCGAAAGUAGCGGCGAGCGAAAUUGGAUUAGCCCUUAAGCUUUACAUGUGUUAGACGAACGGUCUGGAAAGUCCGACGAUACAGGGUGAUAGUCCCGUAGUUGACGAUGCAUGUUCAGUGAAAUCGAGUAGGGCGGGACACGUGUUAUCCUGUCUGAAUAUGGGGGGACCAUCCUCCAAGGCUAAAUACUCCUGACUGACCGAUAGUGAACCAGUACCGUGAGGGAAAGGCGAAAAGAACCCCUGUGAGGGGAGUGAAAUAGAACCUGAAACCGUGUACGUACAAGCAGUAGGAGCACCUUCGUGGUGUGACUGCGUACCUUUUGUAUAAUGGGUCAGCGACUUAUAUUCAGUGGCAAGGUUAACCAUCUAGGGGAGCCGUAGGGAAACCGAGUCUUAACUGGGCGCCAUAGUCUCUGGAUAUAGACCCGAAACCGAGUGAUCUAGCCAUGGGCAGGUUGAAGGUUGAGUAACAUCAACUGGAGGACCGAACCGACUAAUGUUGAAAAAUUAGCGGAUGACUUGUGGCUAGGGGUGAAAGGCCAAUCAAACUCGGAGAUAGCUGGUUCUCCCCGAAAGCUAUUUAGGUAGCGCCUCGGACGAAUACUACUGGGGGUAGAGCACUGUUAAGGCUAGGGGGUCAUCCCGACUUACCAACCCUUUGCAAACUCCGAAUACCAGUAAGUACUAUCCGGGAGACACACGGCGGGUGCUAACGUCCGUCGUGGAGAGGGAAACAACCCAGACCGCCAGCUAAGGUCCCAAAUUACAGCUAAGUGGGAAACGAUGUGGGAAGGCUUAGACAGCUAGGAUGUUGGCUUAGAAGCAGCCAUCAUUUAAAGAAAGCGUAAUAGCUCACUAGUCGAGUCGGCCUGCGCGGAAGAUGUAACGGGGCUAAGUUGUAAACCGAAGCUGCGGCAAUGUUCUAUGAACAUUGGGUAGGGGAGCGUUCUGUAAGCCGUUGAAGGUGUGUUGUAAAGCAUGCUGGAGGUAUCAGAAGUGCGAAUGCUGACAUGAGUAACGACAAGGGGGGUGAAAAACCUCCCCGCCGGAAGACCAAGGGUUCCUGUCCAACGUUAAUCGGGGCAGGGUAAGUCGACCCCUAAGGCGAGGCUGAAAAGCGUAGUCGAUGGGAAACGGGUUAAUAUUCCCGUACUUCUUACAAUUGCGAUGGGGGGACGGAGAAGGCUAGGUGGGCCUGGCGACGGUUGUCCAGGUUCAAGUGCGUAGGCUGAGUGUUUAGGUAAAUCCGGACACUCUUAAGGCUGAGACACGACGUCGAGCUACUACGGUAGUGAAGUCAUUGAUGCCAUGCUUCCAGGAAAAGCCUCUAAGCUUCAGAUUGUAAGGAAUCGUACCCCAAACCGACACAGGUGGUCGGGUAGAGAAUACCAAGGCGCUUGAGAGAACUCGGGUGAAGGAACUAGGCAAAAUGGUACCGUAACUUCGGGAGAAGGUACGCUCUUGAUGGUGAAGUCCCUUGCGGAUGGAGCUGACGAGAGUCGCAGAUACCAGGUGGCUGCAACUGUUUAUUAAAAACACAGCACUGUGCAAAAUCGUAAGAUGACGUAUACGGUGUGACGCCUGCCCGGUGCCGGAA
RNAcentral lists this ribosomal RNA (1839 nucleotides) under Vibrio vulnificus. Its description in RNAcentral is "partial 23S ribosomal RNA". It matches the Rfam family "Bacterial large subunit ribosomal RNA", at positions 1 to 1874 of the family's 2925-position model. The record is from RNAcentral. Lineage: Bacteria; Pseudomonadati; Pseudomonadota; Gammaproteobacteria; Vibrionales; Vibrionaceae.